Molecule: ribosomal RNA, 96 nt
Filed under: Klebsiella aerogenes
Lineage: Bacteria; Pseudomonadati; Pseudomonadota; Gammaproteobacteria; Enterobacterales; Enterobacteriaceae
Source: RNAcentral
CCUGGCGGCGAUAGCGCGGUGGUCCCACCUGACCCCAUGCCGAACUCAGAAGUGAAACGCCGUAGCGCCGAUGGUAGUGUGGGGUCUCCCCAUGUG